AGCAGGAGCCCAGCUGCCACCCAAGCAAGAACAGACAGAGGGGCUCCUUUCCUUUGCUGCAGAGCUCCGGAGGAGCAUCUGGUCCUCGCUCCGGUCCACAGGUUAAGUGACGGCCUGUGACAAGCCUCGGCACACACUGUGCCAAACUUAAAGGAGUCACAGCAGAAUCUGACAGGGCCACAGGAAGCUCGGUUGAAAAUGGAACUCGGAUACUGUGUCCCUUGUAUGCUGGCUGGGAAGGUUUGAUUCACCAAGAAAGAGCCUCGUGCCUGCAGAAAGAGAGAGAGAGAGAGAG
Acomys russatus (golden spiny mouse) is the source of this 295-nucleotide long non-coding RNA. RefSeq lists it as uncharacterized. The record is from RefSeq and is a predicted model, not a curated record. The transcript is spliced from 3 exons. Lineage: Eukaryota; Metazoa; Chordata; Mammalia; Rodentia; Muridae.